UUCAUUGCGCUCCUUCUCCCUUCAGGGCAGGCAGGAGCAGGGAGGCAUGGAGGAGGGUGCACUUAUCCAGUGGCUGGAGUAGGCCAGGGGUUUGCCCCCCUGCUCUGACAGUUUCUCUGGAGUGCUGGUGUGCCACCUGGAAGCAUUCACAUUCGGUCACUUUAUUAUCCAGGGUUGCCCUGGGAGUUUGGCAGGAGAGAGGGAGCAAAAUGGGAGAGCGAGGGAAGCAUAUCACUGGAGAGGGAAGUAGAGAUGUGAUAUGAUCCGCAGGACGCCGUGCUCUGUCCUCAGUGCCCCCUCCCCAGAGGCUCCAACCCCUUCUGAGAACACAAUGGUCAGCCUCCUGUUCCUCACUGGCUUCUUCUUUGGGCCUGGAUUUCUGCAGCAGACCUGGAAGCCAUCACCGGGUAAUAUGGAGUCUACAAAGAGAUCAGUCCAUUGGAAGCCCUCCAGGAGCCCACCACUUAGAAGAGACUGACAAAAUGAACUCUGCUGUAAGGAAGGUGAAAGGAAAGGAGUUUCAAGGCUGAAGGUGCCU
RNAcentral lists this small RNA (538 nucleotides) under Pongo abelii (Sumatran orangutan). Its description in RNAcentral is "processed transcript". Lineage: Eukaryota; Metazoa; Chordata; Mammalia; Primates; Hominidae. The record is from RNAcentral.